UACGGAGGGUGCAAACGUUGCUCGGAAUCAUUGGGCGUAAAGAGCGUGUAGGCGGCCUGGUAAGUCCGCUGUGAAAGUCCAGGGCUCAACCCUGGAAUGCCGGUGGAAACUGUCAGGCUCGAGUCCGGAAGAGGCGAGUGGAAUUCCUGGUGUAGCGGUGAAAUGCGCAGAUAUCAGGAGGAACACCAAUGGCGAAGGCAGCUCGCUGGGACGGUACUGACGCUGAGACGCGAAAGCGUGGGGAGCAAACAGG
Molecule: ribosomal RNA, 253 nt
Filed under: uncultured bacterium
Lineage: Bacteria
Description: partial 16S ribosomal RNA
Rfam family: Bacterial small subunit ribosomal RNA
Source: RNAcentral